AGUGAACGCUGGCGGUAGGCCUAACACAUGCAAGUCGAACGGCAGCACAGUAAGAGCUUGCUCUUACGGGUGGCGAGUGGCGGACGGGUGAGGAAUACAUCGGAAUCUACUUUUUCGUGUGGGAUAACGUAGGGAAAGCUAACGCAAAAACGGAAUCCAUCCUGCGGGGAAAGGGAGGGAAAGUUUGGACGUUUGGGGAUGGACUAGCCGAUGUCGGGUUUGUUAGUUGGGGGGGGAAAGGCCCACCCAGGCGACGAUCCGUAGCUUGUCUGAGAGGAUGGUCAGCCACACUGGAACGGAGACACGGUCCAGACUACUACGGGAGGCAGCAGUGGGGAAUAUUGGACAAUGGGCGCAAGCAUGAUCCAGCCAUACCGCGUGGGUGAAGAAGGCCUUCGGGUUGUAAAGCCCUUUUGUUGGGAAAGAAAAGCAGUAGGUUAAUACCACGCUGUUCUGACGGUACCCAAAGAAUAAGCACCGGCUAACUUCGUG
Molecule: ribosomal RNA, 492 nt
Filed under: uncultured bacterium
Lineage: Bacteria
Description: partial 16S ribosomal RNA
Rfam family: Bacterial small subunit ribosomal RNA
Source: RNAcentral